UACGUAGGGGGCAAGCGUUGUCCGGAUUUAUUGGGCGUAAAGAGCGUGUAGGCGGCCAGGUAGGUCUGCUGUGAAAACUCGAGGCUUAACCUCGAGAUGUCGGCGGAAACCAUCUGGCUAGAGUCCGGAAGAGGAGAGUGGAAUUCCUGGUGUAGCGGUGAAAUGCGCGGAUAUCAGGAAGAACACCCGUGGCGAAGGCGGCUCUCUGGGACGGUACUGACGCUGAGACGCGAAAGCGUGGGGAGCGAACAGG
RNAcentral lists this ribosomal RNA (253 nucleotides) under uncultured bacterium. Its description in RNAcentral is "partial 16S ribosomal RNA". It matches the Rfam family "Bacterial small subunit ribosomal RNA", at positions 524 to 776 of the family's 1533-position model. The record is from RNAcentral.